This 1526-nucleotide long non-coding RNA is filed under the name Homo sapiens (human). RNAcentral's name for it is "HSALNT0075543". Lineage: Eukaryota; Metazoa; Chordata; Mammalia; Primates; Hominidae. The record is from RNAcentral.
CAGAGACUUAGUGUCAGAAGGAGAAGUCAGAAGUAGGAUAUUUAUAGGCCCCUAGGGUCUGGGCUAGAGUGGUUUAAGAUGGGUCAUUCAGUGAGGGAAACUGAUAGGGACUGGGCUGGUUUGUAAUAUAGUUUAGGUUUGGUGGAUACAGCAAAGCAAGGAUCUUGAAGUGACUCUUGAUAAGUAAACUGUUGUUGGAUGAACAAGUUAUUUAUUCAGUCUUAGAUCCUUCAAUAAAUACCAAGCACUUACCACCUGGAUGGUGCACAAUGUUUGGAUAUUAUGAAUGAAACUGCCACGAACUUUUGUGAACAAGUCUUUGUGUGAACACAAGCAUUUAUCUGUCUUGGAAAAAAACCUGGAAUGGAAUGACUAGGUCAUAUGCUAUCUAGAACUGGGUUCUGAAGCAAUGGGAUUUCUGUGAUAAGAAGAAAAAAAUUGUUAAAAUAUUUUUGGAGUGAAAGAUGGAAUAUGGGAAUAUGACCGUGUUAUCUCUCACUAAGGAAUAUCAAGGGGUGUGUGUGGUAUAUUUUGUUUUCAUUCUCAUCUCAGAACCAUGUCCUCCAAUCCCAUCUCAGGAGAAAAUACAGAAGAGUACUGAAAACUGAAAUAACUGCCACUCAUUAUUAUACUCUUCAGAAACAGAUGCAUGUUAUUGCAGUUGCUAGAAACUUCCAGGAUAAUGGAAUUGAAUUCUUGGAAGAUGAGGCUGGAAAAUUUCAUCGUCAUUACGUCAACAUGCUAACAGAUGGUCUGCAAAGCACUUCUCAGGUUUCAUUCAGUAUUUCUGUGAAGAAGCCAGGGGAUCAUGAUGUUCUACUGUGAGAAUGACAGAAAGAGCAAACAAGAACACCUGGGUUACACGAGCUGACUUGCUUCUCUUCAAUGGACAGUAUGAACACAGGUCAGAAUAAUUUCUCCUUUGCAGAGCUACACCAGCACUCUCUCAUGGAAAAGAAUGAGGCAGAGUCAAGGGAGAAAAACAGGAACAUGAGGCUUACAAAUAAUGAUAAAUAUGUCACUAUUCUGAGAGCACCUGUGAUAUACAUACUAUGUCCUUAAACUAAAUGGUUUGGACAAGGUCACCUAUCCAGGGAGGAGGAUCCAAGGCAGUUGAUCUAAGACCUACUUCAAUCCACUUGACCGUAUUUUACUAAUGAGGACAGAGACCAUUAUACUCUGUCACGUUUACAAUGAUAUGAAUAAAUUUUCCUAACAGUUUCUACAAGGUCUUUUUUCUCUUUUUGCAUUUCAAUUGCAUUGUAUGUGAUCAAUUUCAAGUACAAGUGAAUUGCAAGUGGAAAACUUCUGAGAGCAAGUGAGUUGCACUUGACAUUUUGGGUUCCCUGUAGCUGAGUAGCUCUCAAAAAGGUCACAUACAACUUUGUUGCACUGCAAAAUGCCAAGGGCAACUCAGUAGCAAUUGGAAAUUGAAAGGGAAAUUAUAUUCUACCAGAAAUCAGUCACAUGGAUUCUGAAGAAAGAUCUUUGUUCUAUUAAUUGUGUGUGAGGAAAAUAGAAAAUUG